Molecule: long non-coding RNA, 1014 nt
Organism: Zophobas morio
Lineage: Eukaryota; Metazoa; Arthropoda; Insecta; Coleoptera; Tenebrionidae
Exons: 2
Source: RefSeq, a predicted model, not a curated record
GGUUAUUUAUAUUGAUAUCACUGUUGAUAAACGAAAACACUCAUAAAUAAUCUCAUGCAUGUAACUUAAAUUUAAAAUCAGCUCUCAGGCAAACCGAAAUGUCACUUUUGGAGUACUCUGAAGCCUUCACAACACGUGUGAAAUCCCUCCUGAAAAACACCCAUAACUGUAAAGUUUGCCCAUACUUUACAACGUUAUCCUUUUUCAUGGUAAACCACCUCCGGCGACAUUGUGCCUCCAUGCUACAUUUUAACUGUGAAAAUACCAAACUUGAACCCUUUUAUUGCAGCGACUGUGAUUUCAAAACCCAACUAACGCUUCGUUUCAAACAACACAUUAAAGACCACCACAGCAUCAAAGAACAAUAUGGCAUGAAUAUUUACCACAUGGUUACGAAAGAUGUUAAGUGGUACAUAUGUGACAAGUGUCCCUAUAAAACUAAAAGAAAUUUCGAUUUAAAGAAACACAUAAACACGCAGCAUUUGGACGACACGAGUAUUAAAUGGCACAAAUGCGAGAAAUGUCCAUUCAAAAGCAAAUUUAAUUUUAAUUUAAAAAAGCACGUAAAUUCGCAUCAUGUAGAUGAGAAGGAUAUCAUAUGGUAUAAGUGUGAGAGUUGUGCGUAUAAAUCUAAUCGCAAAGAGACGUUGAGGAGACAUAUAAACGUACGACACUUGGAUGAACAGGAUGUUAAAUGGUACGAAUGCCAGAAGUGUCCAUACAAAACUAAACACAACUCUAAUUUAAAAAAGCACGUAGAUACACAGCAUUUAGAUGAGCAGUAUAUUAAGUGGUUCGAAUGUAAUAAGUGCUCAUACAGAGCUAAAAGAAAUUUUGAUUUAAAGAAGCACAUAAGUACGAAGCAUUUGGAUGAAAAGGACAUUAAGUGGAACCAGUGUGAAAGCUGUGGAUACAAAUCUAACCGCAAAGACACGUUAACAAGGCAUAUAAAUGUACGACAUAUGAAUGAAAGAAUAUUGUAGUAUUUGGAUCAAUAUAACGAGUGUUUUUGUU